This is a non-coding RNA of Nothobranchius furzeri (turquoise killifish), 6376 nucleotides long. Lineage: Eukaryota; Metazoa; Chordata; Actinopteri; Cyprinodontiformes; Nothobranchiidae. The record is from RefSeq and is a predicted model, not a curated record.
UGUGCGACACAACGAAUCGAUGACGUAAUUCGUUGCCAACGCUUUUAGUAAUCGAUUUUCAUCGAAUUUAUCGAUUCGUUGUUGCAGCCCUACUUUACACACUCUCGUAUUUAGCAACAAAACACCACUGGUGUGAGAGAUUCUCCGCUCAACAAUAUCAGAGAAGGACAAACAGACGGAUGCUACCACUUCAGCUUUCGGACAAAACGAAAAACACUGAAGUCGCGGACAACAAAUGACAGCUGGACGUAGAAAAUGGUGACUGGUGUUUAGCGCACUCUCGUUUCCAUCGGCAUUGCUGGUCUCCAGUUUCGGCAGAAGCUUCUCAGGGAAGAUACUCGAGGGGAAGGUUGAGUAUCUGGAUGCACGUUUUCCAAAAUUUCUUUAACCGGUUAUUAACGCCUCUUAACAGUUAACCGGAAACCAACCAACCUCUUACGCCCUCUAGUGGCACAAAUAGCGAUGCACCGAUAUGAAAUUUUUGGGCCAAUACCGAUAUCUGAUGUUAAUAUCACUAUUAUGGCCGAUAACCGAUAUUUGCCGAUGCCGGUAUACUGACAUUAAUGCUUCUAAAAUCAGCAGGUUUGAUAUAGAAAUAAAAUGAUUAAAGCUGAAUUUACGUUAUUAAAGAGCAAGUAACGUCUAAAUUAACUUUUUUUUUGCUGGUGAACUGUAUAAAUGAGUGUCUAAUAGUGUUUUAAAUGAGUGUAUUCAUUAUUUUAGCAUUUUGGUGCAUUUUCUUUAAAAAUUAAAAAUUCUGCAUAAAUACCACAGUAUAGCGCCACCUUCAGCUUAAAACAUAGAAUUUGAGUCAUUUUGAAUAAAUUUUAGCCAAUGGCUAAAGAGUAAGAUACUACAUAAAUCAGUAGAGUACUACGUAGCAGCUCUGUGUCAAAGUUAUAAAAGCAUCGAGAGUCUCGGCUACGUCUUGUGGCGAGUUGGGAGUUGGAUUUGCAAGCCAGUGUAGGACGGUCAGCGGUAGUUCAGCAUUAGCAUAUCCUAGUCUUUAGCAUAGCUUUUAGUGUUAUACACACUUAUAGUGUUAGCUUGGCUGGUGGAUAUUGUAGUUUAGUUAGUGUUUGGCUGUUAGUGUUAUUAGGAAAGUAAUUCGGUUUUAGUGCUCCAUAUCGUGUUAGUAUGGUGAGAAGGUGUAGUGUAGUGGGUUCGGUAGCUCUGUGGGGUUGCACUCCUUUCCGCUGGACUUAGAAAUUAGGCGCCAGUGGUUGCGCGCUACCGGUGUCUGGAAAAGUCAGCUCCCGCCUGGUGCUGUAGUUUGCAACCAGCAUUUUACCCGCGAUUCCUUAGCCAACAUGAUGGAGUUUGAACUGGGUUGUUCUGCACGUCUCCAUUUGAAGAGGGAGGCCGUGCCCACCGUGGCUCUUCCACGAUUUAGAUGCAGCCCACCGACUCUGCUCCCGCACCAUGGCGGGCUCCAGUCUGAGGUGAGUAAGCUAAAUAAAAGGUUUAACAUCUUCUAAAGACAAUUCCCUACCUAAAUGCAAAGUUUCAGAGAUGUGGUUCACUUCCUUUAGCUAAUAUCAGCCUGCACUGCCUUCAGGCUGAUUUGUCAAGUUCACAAAAUGUGGAACGGGAUGUAAGGUUGGAAUCAGCGGCGAAUCGGAACAUAUCUCGAAGCCCUGGCCGACAAAAUGGUCCACAUGACUAUUACUGUCAGGCUCGGAGAAAAUUCGGGUUGUUUUUGUGUCAGUCGAUAAUUCUGCUAACAGUGACUCUAACUAACGCAGCACUGGCUGACAGACAGCAUUACAGCGUGAAAUCCAGCUUGUGACCCGGUUCUGUAAGGAAUUCUGUUCAGGAGGUCGCAUUUCAGGCUCUCCACAUCAUAUGUGACUGACUUUUACGUUAUAAUAACGAUCACACACUAGGAAUGUUAUAAAGCGCCUAUAUAGGACAGUUUCUUUUGUAUAUUAUCUGACUUUAUAAACUCCAACAACAAUGUGCUUCUAUUUUUUUUUCAGGCUAAAUCUACCCAAGACACUGGUUGUUAGACUGAUUUAGUAGUCUGCAAGAAUGCACUUGUCCAGGCUGACGUGAAGCCUUACCCGUAGCAAAGCCAGCCAGAAUGGAGUUCACAGCCGCAGUGUGUCUUGUGACACAGAGACCAUGACGGAAAUUCAUCUUCCAGAAAGUCCCAGAGCAGCGUCCACACCCCUGAAAAGACCAAGAUGUGAGGUGUCUGCUGUUGAUUCCAGCUUCCACCUCAGUGACAGUGCAAGCUCAGUGAACUGUUCAAGGAGGCUACUGAUUCUGGCCCUGUGACACUUGUUGGUGACGUGUGAGCUGAUUCACCUGGACACUCAGCAAAAUAUGGACUCUACACCAUGAGGCAGGCACAUGUUAAUACUGUAUAAGAGCACAUAAGGUGAGCAACACCACAUAUUAUUAUUGUUAUUACUGUACACCGUCCUGGAUUUGUUUUCUUUCUGCAUCUCAUCAUUAGCCUGGCUGAUCACCUGAUAACUCCUGUCAUCUGGUUAUGACAGCAUGAGGAUGUCCUCACACACUUGUAACCUAUCAGCUCAUCUGGCAGAAUAGAGAGAGAAGAGACAACACCACAUCUCCUGUUCCUGGAAAGCCUUCAGCCAUCCUUCGAUGACUGAGAACCUCCAUCAGCUCUGUCUCCUGUCUGCCUACAAUUAUUAUAAUAAAUUUUGUGUUUGACAAGAUUUUGUGCUGUCAAAUAUCUCAUUUUGAUUCCAGUUUUUAUAUUUUAAUGGAUAUUUAUAAAUUACAUUAAUUGAAUUAUCACAUUGUUGCAUGUUUAACUAGCUCUAUUGUGAUGAAUUAAACUAGCACCUCACUGUUAAAAGCUCUUUUUAAUUUCAAGCAUGUUUAAGUAUUUAUGGACAUGAACAAAUACAGGAAAUACAUAAAUUGAGAUUUAUUUAAUUAAUAUAACAAAUAAGGGGGAAAGAGUCAUUGAAAGGCACAUUCUUCUGGAAGCUCCUGAUCCUGACGACACCAGCAGGAGACCACCUGCAGACACCAGAGGAUCACCUACAACCAAGAAAGCAGCUAGUAUCAGUAAAUAAAUAAUGAAAUCAGGGCAGUUUUAGUGGGCUGAACACAUUACAGAAUAAUUUUCUCAUGGGGUAGUUUCAUAACUUUCUAUGCAGCAGACUGUAACUUGAGCCCAGGGCUCCUGGAGAGCUGCUAUCAAGCACGUUUCAGUAGUUUUCCUGCUUUAACAGGUUAGAUUAGCUGUUAAGCAGCUCAGCUAUUUGUUGCUGAUUAAAACCAGGUGUGUUGAAGCAGAUAAACCUCUAAAACAUGCUGAAUACUAGCUCUCUAGGGCCGUGGAGCCAAACCCUGCAGCUAAUCCAAUGCUAUGGCUAAUGGCUACUUACCAUUCAGAGCUGGUUCUGUUGGGUCGGUUCCGGUAGUUUCAGGCUACUCACAAGCUCAAAACAAUAAGGCUCAGGUCCGCUUAUCUCCUCCAAAUAGACUUGGUCCCUUUCUUCUCGAGUGUCUGUGUAAGGAGGGGGAGAAACAUCCUCCACUUCUAAUGACUGCUCAGAGUGAAGGGAGCUAGCAUCGUCUCAUUACCCAUCGUCUUCGUCACUGCCGUGGCUCCGCCCCCUCGGUCCUCCAGGCAACGCCUACUAAUGUUGCAGUUUUUAAAAUUGAUACGUGGGUGGAGAAGGACUCUGAGGCACACUUGACCCGCUCUUUAAGUACACAUACCACACACAUUUACACUUCUGAGAUGAUUACAAUCACUGUCGCAUGACUAAACAAAUACACAUCACCCCCGUCACCCUCUGAAACAUAAACAAAUGGAAACGAGAUGGAACAAAUAUCGGCCCAGUUUUAUUUAUUGGACAGAUACCGAUAUUGACGCCAAUAUAUCGUACAUCCCUAUGCACAAAAUAUAUCACACCCCAGCACAGUAGAAGGACUAGAAGCAGUUAACCUGAAAAAACUGUUUAACCUGGUCACAGCAUUAACGACAAUUAACUGGUUAACUGGUAAUCUGUGUAAAUCCUUAGUGUACUGUGAUUGUGUUUCUGUUCAAAACCUAGCUUGUUUUGUAGAUUCGCUAUAACAGCUUUAAUCGAAAACUGACAGAAGUUCCACGUACACAACAUUUAAAACUGGUUUGAGUUUUUAAACCUUUAUUUGAAACAAAAAGUUUUGCAUCAGCUGCAAACAGUAUUAACAAGAUGUUGGAUAGUGGCAGCUACACUGUAGCUUGGAAAUGUUAAUGUACCUAAUAUUAUUCUUUGAAGAACACCAUAUUAUUGUCUGAUGACCAUAAAAACAUAGAAUUUUCUAUAAAAGAUUUCUGCUAACUUUCUCCUGAAAAUCAGGCCAUGUAAUAUUUGUAUAAUGAUGAAAACUAAACAAGAGGACUGCUUUAAAUCCUUUUAAAAGAAACAAAAUAAUCACAUUGCAAUAAGUGAGCUUCAGCAGUGUCAAAGAGGAGAAUUUUUACUAAAUCUGUACUGAUAAAAUCAUAAAUACACACUAGCCUUACCAAAACCUGGAAAGUUAUAUUGGGCUGCAUGGUGGAGCAGUGGUUAGCACUGUUGCCUCACAGCACAAAGGUUGCAGGUUUGAAACUCGGCUGCGGCCUUUCUGUGUGGAGUUGCAUGUUCUCCCCAUGCAUGCGUGGGUUUCCUCCGGGUACUCCGGUUUCCCCCACAGUAGGGCUGGGCGAUAUGGCAAAAAUAGAAUAUCACGAUUUUUCCAAUAUUUUAUCACGAUUUCGAUUUUAUCACGAUUUUUUAUCCAUGAAUAGCAUAACUUCAAUUGCGUAUUAAAGAAGAGAAACAUUGAAUAAAUAAACAUUUAUUCAUAUUAGGGAUAAUCAGCACAGUGCUAACACACUUAUAUUUUAAACUCACACCAGAGAUGAUAAAAGCCCUGAGAGAAACAAUUACAAAAAUCAGUUUUUCUCGUUUUUCACGUAACUUAACAUAAAUUAAAAUCGUAAACAUAUUUAAAGUGCAAACAUGUCAAUUGCAAACGUAUUGUGCAAACAUUAACUUGUUCAAAAUACUAUGUAGCUCCCAGUUGCUCAUGUAGUGGAUAGUUAAGCUCAAAUACGUCUCUGAUGUGCGGCUGGACCAGAGAUCGCUUGUGGUAGCAAAAAACUGCGCAUUCUGAAUAUUUUCUGCAACAAGUCUCUAAAUAAAGUAAAAAUUUCCAGUGCAGAGUGGAGACAACCCAUAGAAGCACUGAUUUGAUCUCAUUUCAGAGAAAAAUAGAACAGGUCAGAUGCACCUAAUAAAUAAAAUUACUAACAUAAACUCAGGAAUGUGUUUCUUUGCUUCACUGUUCUGGUGCUGAAAAUAUCACUAAUGCGGAUCAAAGGAGAUACACAGAUGAAUGCACCUCUUAUUAUUUGGAAACUACAUUUACUGCAGCUGGCAGAGGUUGUUUCUAUUGAUACACGGAGUUUACAGAAUCAUUUUAAAUGUUAAUAGGGGAAGACUGCAGGAGGGAGCGGUAAAAUACAGCAAAAACAAGAAACUAAGAGUCUGAUGAAACCCGCUGGUUUUCCAUCAGGCAGUCACGGGGCAGCUCCAACGACCCAGUGACCGAGCUCAGUCCGGUACCGACACCGGCUCGGCAGAGGGUGAACGAGCCGAGGCGACGUCGUGCUCUGCUUAAGAAGAAGAGUUAUUUUCCUGCUUCAGAAGAAGCGUCCAACGUGUUUUUACGCUUUCUCCGAGACAUGUCACGUCGCUAAGUUGUUAGCACUGCGCGCUAAGGAAACCCUGCGUUCCUCUUCGGAACGAAAACCUCGUUGUCGCUCAGCCGCGGCGAAGCCAUGUUUGUUCACACACAGGUGAAAACAAGCGGGGCACUAAUAUAUUACUAUGACUCAUUCUGAUUGGUUAAGGGUCAAACAAAGGCGCGUCAUUCGCCUGGGGUAAGCUCCAUUUUCAUUCAGAGGCAGAAAUUCAACAGCAGAGCUGUGAAUCGUGAUAAAGCGGUCUCUCAAAAAUGACAGACCGUCAGAUGUGUAGAUCGUAAAACGGUCUAAAAUCGUCAUAUCGCCCAGCCCUACCCCACAGAUCACAACAUGCCCUAUGGGUUAUAAAUUGUAAGUCGCUUUGGAUAAAAGUGUCUGCUAAAUAAAUAAACAAACAUGGAAAUACGUUAAUCACUCAUAAAUUGAAUUGAACCGCCUGAUUUGAAAUAACUGAAUAAGCUUUACGAUUUUCAGGUUGGAAGGUGUAACACCAGUCCCUACAAAUGAUUAAAAACACGAUCGUUAGCAAAGCUCAGAAUUUAAUACAUUCGGUUAUUUUUUGGGUUGUUUGCAGACAGACCAAGGAGUAAAUUCUAUCUGUUCCCUUUAUAUUAUUGUAAAAACAAUUUUUGUUUAUUUUUGCAUAACUUAUAA